RNAcentral lists this ribosomal RNA (468 nucleotides) under uncultured bacterium. Its description in RNAcentral is "partial 16S ribosomal RNA". It matches the Rfam family "Bacterial small subunit ribosomal RNA", at positions 28 to 507 of the family's 1533-position model. The record is from RNAcentral.
GAUGAACGCUGGCGGCGUGCUUAACACAUGCAAGUCGAACGGAAAGGCCCAAGCUUGCUUGGGUACUCGAGUGGCGAAAGGGUGAGUAACACGUGGGUGAUCUGCCCUGCACUUCGGGAUAAGCCUGGGAAACUGGGUCUAAUACCGGAUAGGACGAUGGUUUGGAUGCCAUUGUGGAAAGUUUUUUCGGUGUGGGAUGAGCUCGCGGCCUAUCAGCUUGUUGGUGGGGUAAUGGCCUACCAAGGCGUCGACGGGUAGCCGGCCUGAGAGGGUGUACGGCCACAUUGGGACUGAGAUACGGCCCAGACUCCUACGGGAGGCAGCAGUGGGGAAUAUUGCACAAUGGGCGCAAGCCUGAUGCAGCGACGCCGCGUGGGGGAUGACGGCCUUCGGGUUGUAAACUCCUUUCGCUAGGGACGAAGCGUUUUUGUGACGGUACCUGGAGAAGAAGCACCGGCUAACUACGUG